This 254-nucleotide ribosomal RNA is filed under the name uncultured bacterium. RNAcentral describes it as "partial 16S ribosomal RNA". It matches the Rfam family "Bacterial small subunit ribosomal RNA", at positions 524 to 776 of the family's 1533-position model. The record is from RNAcentral.
UACGUAGGGGGCGAGCGUUGUCCGGAUUUAUUGGACGUAAAGAGCUCGUAGGCGGUUCGAUAAGUCGGACGUGAAAUCUCCACGCUCAACGUGGAGGGGCCGUUCGAUACUGUCGUGACUCGAGUCCGGUAGGGGAGUGUGGAAUUCCCGGUGUAGCGGUGAAAUGCGCAGAGAUCGGGAGGAACACCCGUAGCGAAGGCGGCACUCUGGGCCGGUACUGACGCUGAGGAGCGAAAGCGUGGGGAGCAAACAGG